Molecule: long non-coding RNA, 13041 nt
Organism: Gasterosteus aculeatus aculeatus (three-spined stickleback)
Lineage: Eukaryota; Metazoa; Chordata; Actinopteri; Perciformes; Gasterosteidae
Source: Ensembl
CCUGACUAAGGCCCUUCUCCCCCGAUCGCUCAGUCUGGCUGGGCAGGCGACUCUAGCAAGAGUCCUGGUGGUUCCAAACUUCUUCCAGAUGAUGGAGGCCACUGUGCUCAUUGGGACUUUCAAUGCUACAGAAAUCUUUCUAUACCCUUCGCCAAAUCUGUGCCUCGAUACAAUUCUGUCUCUGAGUUCUACAGACCUCAUGGCUUGGUUUAUGCUCUGAUAUGCACUGUCAUACUCUGAUACCUUAUAUAGACAGGUGUGUGCCUUUCUCAAUCAUGUCCAAUCAACUGAAUUUAGCACAGGUGGACUCCAAUCAAGUUGUAGAAACAAGGAUGAUCAGUGGAAACAGGAAGCACCUGAGCUAAAUUUUGAGUGUCAUGGCAAAGGCUGUGAAUAAUUAUGUACAUGUUAUGUUUUCGUUCUUUAUUUUUAACAGAUUGUCAUUAUGGGUUGUUGUGUGUAGAAUGUUGAGGAAAAUAAUGAAUUUAAUCCAUUUUGGAAUAAGGCUGUAACAUAACAAAAUGUGGAAAAAGUGAAGCGCUGUGAACACUUUGCGGAUGCACUGUAGUUUUACAGGUUUUUACACUGACUUAAAAAAAGUUGGAGAACAAACUUCAUGAAAAUGUUUUGAAAAUAACCACAGAAAAAAGUCAUAUGGUACUGAAAACCCCCACUAUUUAAUUUAAAACAAAAUUCAAAAAAUCUCAACAAAUUUGUAGUACAAACUUUAUACAUAUUAUUUUCUGACAUGGCGUAUCAAGAAAAUAAAAAAGUAGAAAGUAAAAAUAUUUCAGUAUAGAAUUUUGAAAAACAGUCUAGUAUAGUCAGAUUAUUAAAGAAGAUUAAAAUGAACCUUUUGUAUUUUAGUGUGUAUUAUGUCAAAAACAAAAAAAUAUAUAGUAUUGUCAAAAGAAGUGAAAGAACUACAAAUAUGAUUUACAUUUCAUGAAGAACCAAAUGACAAGAUAAAGGAAAAAAUGAACUUUUGGUUAAAAUAUAAAAUAACGUAAAAGAAGAAAAAUCCAGUGCAUAUCAAAUGUACAAGUUAUGCAAACUGCUAAAACACAAAGAGCUUUCACAGAAUAUAAUUGAAUAAAACAUUUAUUCUGACUGGACCCUCCAAACCUAAAACAUUAAAACACAGACAAGGGCAACAAGCCCCCCAGCACUGAGGCGCCUCUUCAUGAUGCUCUGAGGUCACUGCCAAUGGCCUCGAUGUACACUGACCUCUAGUGGCCACGUUCAGGAAGAACAGUACACUGACCUCUAGUGGCCACGUUCAGGAAGAACAGUACACUGACCUCUAGUGGCCACGUUCAGGAAGAACACUCAACAGCAAUCUAAUGUUAAUAUGAUUCUAGUGGGACAUUUUAUUUCAGCUCACUUGACUCCUAAAAAUAAAUACAGAAUGAUAACCAAUUUUCUAUAGUUGAACGUUAAAGUGUAAAAAUAGGUCAAGUGUCACUUUUCUAGGUUUUGGGGGGUUGAUUUCACAAUGAUUGUGUGUAAUACCCAUUGAGAGAUUAAUGCUUUCACCUGUGACACUUUCUGCGUUUCUUUCUCUCUUUUCUGUCAGCGUGGUGCACACAUUCCUUCAGGGGGAGCCGUCGCUCUUUCUGUAAAUCAUACUCGGGCUGCUUUUUAUUUUCAUACAUUAAACAUUUUCCCUUUACUGCUAAAAUCUUUCUACAUUCACUUUCUGUCUGGAAAAAAAAAUAAUUCACGGGCCACUGGCAUUUUGGGAGAUGAAAAUUUAUAUUAUGGGAGUAUAAUGGUUUUCUUCCCAGUGUCCCAUUGUGUGCUGGAUCUGCAGGACUCCAUUCAUCUGUCCCUUUUUCUUCAGUUAUCGUCUCCUUCUCUGCCCCCCUCCCUACAUUUACGUUUCUGUGAUAUCUGCACCUAAAAAGACGCCUUCUGUCCCUCAUUUUGCCCGUCUCCUCGUCUCUUUGCGUGGGUGGGAGGAAGAAAAGGCCGGUCAGUGGAGUUGGACAUGAACAAAGAAGUGGUGUACUUGUAGUGUACAGUAUUGUACUGUACAGUAGUGUAGUUAAGCAAUAAGGUACAAGAGGCUGUGUUUUAUCGUCUGGCCUAACAACCCCUGAACUGUUUCAUUAUUGAAGAUAAAGUACUGCCUCAAGUACCUUUAUUGUUUCUAUACUACGGUUACCAGCGAAAUUAUAAAUGCACACCAGAUCGUUUGGGGAGCUCCCGGCGUCCAGCCGCCUCGUCUGGCUGAGUUUCUCUCACCGGAUCGCCACUAUCGAAAUACAGGGAGACAAACACAAUCCUUGAUUCACUGCACCUGAGGCCAAUGGCGCCUCCACCUGGCACAUCAGUGUAGUUUAGGGUGCAGUAGGACACAGUAGUGUAGUUUAGGGUGCAGUAGGACACAGUAUAGUGUAGUGUGCAGUAGGACACAGAGCAGGAGCAGGAUGAGCAGCAGCAGAUAAAACCCAGCUCCUGCAUGCAUAUUUAAUUUCUGGAGUAUUGCAAGCCAGCAGGAGAUGUAGGAAAUCUGGCAGAUUAUGAAGAAUUCAGCUCCUUUAUCGGUCUUCUCUCUUCCUCUAUCUGCUUUUCAGCCUGUGACUGCUUUUUUAACCCCUUACUUCCAUCUUACCUAAGUGGCUUUGUAAUGAGCUUCUCUUUCAUUUGAUACGUGAAGAAACAGAUGUGGGGAUGUCGUCCCUUUCUCUGUCUGCUAAUGGUCAGAAUGAUCAGAUGACCUUAAAAGUGAGAUUUGGUUCUUUGUGUUCAUUGUAGGGAUUGUGGUGUUUCUUUAAUAUUUCGGGGUUAGGAUUUUAUCCAGUACGGUCAAACCGUAUUUCCUUUUGAUCUUGUUAAUAAAUUGUGAAUCAUUAAUGUGUGUGUUACGUGCCUUGUUUGUGUUUGCGCCUGUGUGUGUGUGUGUGUGUUUCUUCAGGUGUGCUGGCGAUGUCACUCCUGCAGCUGAUCAGUGUUAGGGAUUUAAGCAAGAAGUGCACCCCUAGUGGUGGAAAUGAUAUUACAUGUAGUAAUGUUCAGGGUAGAUGUGUAGUUUGUGAUGUUAGAUAUUAGUUAUUACAUUAACAUGUUAGAUGAAGUGAAUGCAAUAUGAAUCAAACACAAUGUGGAGUCAUGUAAAUCAUAUAAACACUGUACACAUUAACAUUCUGUCACCAUGUGAUGUUAAAACCUGGGGACCGAUGCUAGUUUCCGUCAAUUUUUACGUGUUGUACUUAAGUGCACUAGUUAUUAGAUGAAGACCAUCUAUGCACGCUUUGUUAUAUUCACUCAUUGAGGCAUAACGCCAAAUGUAUCUACAUUGAAUGUAUUGGAAGGUGAGGGACAGAAAGGACAGAGAGGUCUCAGGUUACAGCAGCAGCUUCACACCUCGAUGUGAGGGGGACAAACCAGGAGGGGACACUUUGAAGGAGAAGCCAAUGACAUUCAAAUGCACCAAAGAAGACACACCUCAGGAGUUUUCAAAUGACCAAAGCGAGGAAAGGACUGUUAGAAUUCUCCUGCAGCUGCUUUGAUGAGUCACUUUAGACUCGACUCAGAGAAUUCUCUAUUUUGCGAAAUAUUGCACUGUUCGAAUUGUAUUUUACUUUGUAACUGUAUUCCUUACACUUUGUUUAGUUAAUAAAUACUUUUUGAUUUUUAAAUUUGAGCAAGUUGACUCUUUUGAUUCUUAGUUUCUGGCCGGGACGAGAACAAAGGAGUGAGCCCUCCUUCGAGGGCUUUCUGAACCCUAAACAUCAGCAUGGGGCUACGCGGCUGUGUUGCUGCAGUGGAACCAGAGCGGAACCAGAGAGGUGUUUGGUGCUGCCGUGAGGAGUUUUUGCGAGCCAGUGAAGAAGGAGGCAUACGCCAUACCAGUCUUCCUUUUGGAGAUUGUUUUCAGUUGCCUUGUGUUGAGUUUUCCAUCAUUAAUUACUAGGGGUGUAACAAUUCAUUUUAACAACGAUUCGAUUCGCGAUUCAUGGUUGCCGAGGACAUUUUGGUUUAAGUAGAUAUUAUUUCCUGCAUUCUAGUGGAUUUUUGUGUGGUAUGCUAAAUAUGUGCAAUACCUCAACUUCAUUCAUGUUCAUCUGAUCAUGACUUGUAGACUUGAGCUGAACAUUCAACCAGAAAACAAUUGUUGAGCCUCAAUGACGGUCUUUGUACCACAAUAAAGCCUAAUUAAUAGACCUGUGUUUGAGAUUGGACCAAGGUAGGUUGAUUGACAUUUUGAGUAUAAUGGUAUUCAACCCAUUUAGAACUGAAACCUAACCUGUAUUGUUAAUAAUUGUAUUCUUAAGAGCACGUAUGUUCAUGGAUCAACACAUGACCAAAAUAACUAAACAGAGGUAUCAGAUGCAGAUCAGAAGCUGGUCCUUUUCGUAGGUCCCAGUUGGGAAACGUCUUCAGCGUGAGUCCUUUUCUUUAGUCGGUUAUUAAAACAGCCUGAAUAAAACACGCUGUGAUGUUUUGAGCGUGCGGUUCACCACCAGGUUAACAAAGUGCUCUGCGGCUGCUUGUUGUGACACCACACAAACACAAACCAAUAAUUUAUUUCAAGAUUUAAAGUUUAAGAGAGUAAGUUCUUAAUUGUACCACAUGUGAUUAACGUCUCUCUCUCACAUUGGAGAUGAAGUUUUUCUUCAACGUUGGAUUCUCUUUUUUCCUUUGUAACUCUUCUUCUGUGGCUAACUUCGGGAUGAAGAGGAUGAUGUGUAUGCAGCGAAUAUGGAUGGAUGGACAGAUGCGCUUCUUAGCGCCCUCUACCAUCGGGGAGGUUGAAGAAGAACGAACGUGUCUCGGCCCAAACAUUUUUUGUGUGUGGGAAAUUGGAUGUGUGGCGUGAGAAAACAUUCAACGCGUGUUUCUCAUGGCGAAAGCGUGAGAGCAGCUCUGGUUUGACACGUGGAUGAAUUCCUCUGCACGGUUCUACAUCCAAUGCAAAAAGCUCUCUCCAUCUUCAACCACCGCCUUGCUUUCUCCCAUGUAACUGACCGCAGCCAGCAGCCGUUUCGUUUCCCGCGAUUACUUCCGGAAGUAAACAAACGUAAGUUAACUACGUUAAAAUAUUUUGUUGCAUUAAACUUGGCCACAUUAAUCGCAUAGAUUAACUUGUUUACGUAAACGUAACGUAAAAACUGAUUUCUAGCUUUUGAGAAAGGUGACCACUCACUAUUUGUCCACAAUAACUAUUCAAUUUGCUUGGAAUGCUGGCUUGAAAAUGAAUUUGAAACGAUAUUGACAAGGAAAAAAGUCCCACAGGUAUUUCAUAGACAAAAGCUUUUUUUAAUGAAAAUCAUGUAUUUUCCUGUCAAGUAAAAAAGUUUGAUCAUAUGCAUACUAUUUAUAGCUUUAACAUAGCAGGCAGUAUAAAGAGGGUUAACAUUUGAAAUAUUCAGAGCAUUCAGAAGCAUACUUCUUCUAAUAAGUAGAAACGUACGUGGUCCUCUGACUGGUUGUUCCUCACUAGAGAAACGCAUCCGGUGUGUGAGUCUGGGCUCAAAUUCACACAUCCAGAUGUUGAGAGGAGCUCAAUCAAUGCCGCAUGUUAGAAAGAGGACUCGGGAUGACAUGUUGACCUUGGCGGUUUUAUUCUGACACGUCUCCAUUUAGUUUGUUAGCUAAGCUUGAUGUCCAAGAGGUCUGUUCUGUUGGACUUUUCCCCAGAUGUCUAUUUAUGGAAGACUGCUUGAUUAUUUGCUCCUGAUUUGUUAUUGGCUUUGUUUCACGUUCAGCUGAGAAUAACAAACAACCAAAAUCACUAGAUUUGAAAGACAAAGGGUAACAAACACGUAUUGAAAGUUCUCUCUUCAAUUAGAUUUGAUUUUUUUGUGCUAUUUAUAUAUUCUAGAGAUUUGGAAGUUAUCAUUCUAGAAUACAUGCCUGCCACCUUGCAGCUACACCAGUUCUGAAGCAGACUUAACAUCCUUACUAAGCCUGCAGAUUUUUUUAAAUGCGCUUUAAAUGUGAAAACAAUAUCUGUACGUAGAGAUUGUCAGCAGAAUACUACUAAGUACCACAGUGUCCCAAACGUUGUACUUAAAGGACCAGUGUGUAGCAUUUGGUGCCAUCUAGAGGAGCGGCUGAGAGUCACUAAAGUGGUCAUAACAAGACCUUCAUGACCUAAAAGCUCAAUGUUAUAGGAAGAUAAUAGUCAUAAUAAGGUGGCCCCGCCCUAAAGCACACCCUGCUGUAUGUCCAAUCGACUCAAAAUGGGACCAUUGUUUAUGGAAGUGGACAUCAUGCUGUUGUAGUUUUAGUAGUAGAAAUAUGGCACAGCAACAUGAUGGACGUGGUGCAAGAGAACACGCUCGCACCGUAUUCUCAGAUAAUUACUUCCUGUCACAACAUACAUGUCACAGUGUGUAAGGCAGGGGGCCACAUACUGACCAGUCCAAUCCUCGGCAAUGAUACGGUCAACGGGGGGGGGUCAUUUUCUAAUGGACGCUCCUGCCUGGAGGAACGACGCUGUCGAUCCCCCCCUGGUCUAACGCAUGCGCUCACUCGCAGAGUGCGUCCCCCAGUGGACUUUUUAGUGGAGUGACACCUUAAAAGGUAAGUAGUGGUGCUAAGAAUUAUUAUUGAUUCAUUAACAAAGUCAUUUGCAUGUUUGUGGAGUAUGAGGAGAACUGCAGAUGUAAUAUACAACCUAAUAAAUUCAUAAAUGAUAUACAACUGAUAUACAAAUGAUAUACACAGCCCUUCAGCAACACCACCCCCAGCAGCUUAUGUGUAUAUAUAUAUAUAUAUAUAUAUGGGGGUGGUGUCGCUGAAGGGCGGUGCACUGGAGAAUAGGACGGGGGAAGAUGGGAGAGGAGAGAGGAAGCAUGAAUAAUCCAUUGGAGAAUCGCAACAGGAUUAAGACAAGGUGGAAGCCAAAAAUAUCCCGGGCCAAAGCAGUUUGGCGCAAUAACGCUGCAACGGAGCGCCACAUGACAGCAAGCCACUCGAGCUGCCAGUCUCCGCUGGUUCAGGAAGCAAAGCAUUAGGGGGAUUAUAAAGAGCCACUGGGAUGUCGCCGUGUUGAGUAAAACUUCCAGUGUGACGGAGAAUAGAGUCCUGGUCCUGUUCCUACUGCCUGUGAGCACAGAACAUUUGGUAAAUAUAACUUCAAACUUUACAGAUGGUUUUCUGUAUACAAACGUCAGUACAAAGCCUAUUUAUGGAGCCAAAUCCAGAAAAAACUAAUGUGAACCUGUUGCUUUGUUGUUGAACAUUGAAAAAUACAACAAUGUAUUCAAAAUUAAAACGAAUAUCAAAAAAUAAUUAUAUGUGAAGAUUGAAAAAAAUAUUUUAUUCAAAAAAACUAUAUUCAACCCAAAAAUACUUUUCGUCCACUCAUUUUUAUUUUGAAUACAUUGUUGUAUUUUUUUAUGUUCAAGACCAAAACUUAAACUUUCAGGUUCACAUUUAUUUGUCAAAUGAUCAAAACCUUUGACCUGGAUUUGGCUCCAUAAUACUCCAGCAUAGAAAUAGCAGUUUGUUUAAGGGGGGAAAGUGUGCCAGGGGGCUCAAUAGCAACCCACUACUAAUUUUUGCCUCAGAAAAGGCGCAGUUGUCGAUCUUACUCACUAUAGAAGGAACUAAAUGUCAGGAUAAUAUGCCAUUGGUUACAAAUUCUGUCCCAUACAAGUCCCCCACCUUUAUGGUUAGUGGAAUACUAACAUGCUACCCUUUAUUUUAAACAUGCAAUAGAAUCAAAUGAUUAUGAAGUAUUCCAUUUCCCUCAAGUGAACUGAAUCAUUGUCUUACCUUUUUCUAGAUUUCCCCUGAAACAAUUCAUUAAUCCCUGUUUUGCCGAUGUGUCUUUUCCUCAUCCUCCCUCUUAACGCCUCUCGCCUACAUUUCCUCUCCCCCUUUCUGCUUGUAUCACUUCAGUCAAACAAGGUUAAAUGUUCCCUCUUGGUAAAAGAAGCAUCAACCAGCAAAACAGAAUUUAAAUUCUUCCAAAGCAUAACAGGGGGACCAGAAAAACACUAACGCCAAACGCUUAACCUACAGUUUGUCUGUAGAAAAUAUGUGUGCCCAGUACAAAGCCUUGCAGAGCUGUACACUGCUGCAGGGUGACACUAGAAUUUGACAAAGCAACUUGGACAAGUGUCGACAGCGACUACAGUUUGGGAGAUGACGGAAUACAAUUCUUUCUUAAGUAAUGUCUCGGUUCAACGUCUGGGAACAAACAUGCACACCUGACAUUCUUGUAAGAUGAACAGUUAUGAGAAAAACAAUUACAAAUCAAUAUUUAAAAAUCUAAAUCCCACAUUCAUCCAAUUUAUUACACCUCCAUUCACCCAACAACCACCGACAUUUCAUGUCACUGUCAUCUCAUCCCAGUGUACUUUUUCCUUUCUAAAGACACUUUAAGACCCUAAAGAUGUCAGCAUCUGCAUUGGUAUGUUAUAAAACACAUGUAAGGCAAUGAACAGCACAGAUUUAUGAAGCUACCAGGAUUUACAGCACUUAACGGAGGAAUACCACCCACUUUAAGAGCGCAUUCUGGUCGGAUAUAGGGAGUCAGAUUAAUCAUUAUGAUCAGUAAGCAGAAGCUCCAGAAGAACCAGAGAUUAGCUAACCAGCAAAACAUUAGAAUUGCUAUCUAAUUGUGCAGUUAUUGCUGCAUAUGUUGGCUUCUCUGUAACUUACCUAAUAUUUACUCACUGAGUAACUUGAAGGGUUGUCAUAGGUAUCUGUUGUGUCCCCAAAUCAAUUUUCUUAUUUUAAAAGAGUUAGGAAAAAUGUUUUCUUUUAAAAACCCUACAUGGAACAUCUGGAGAACUUCAUCCUGAGGCCAAUUCAAUAUGCAGUGUGAAAAGCUACAUUUUAAAGCUACGAACUUAAGAUAGAAAUAUCAGUUUGUCCAAAUUUGUAAUUUUUUACUUGUGGCAAAUAGUGGCAUUUUAAAUGGGUAUUAUUUGAGGACAGCCAGUUCUCAGCUAGAAGACAUCUCUCUUUCUCUUUUGAAAGAUAAUAUUAACCAUUUCCAUCAAGUUAUGUUUCAGACAGUUACCAUAUGAGAUAUUCUCCUAAUUUCAAAACCUAUACUCCAAGAACAUUUUAAUGACUAACAUUUUCCAUGGCAAAAACCUUUGGUGGCCAGUUUAUAGUUAACGGUAGCAAAUUGUAACUGUAUGAAUAAAAUCAUUAAGUCAAUUCUAUAUUUAAAGAGGAUUCUACAAUGUUGUAACAAUUAGAAACUUGUUUCUAUAAAUUAAUCAUAAACUACUGAUAGUUCUUCUGUUGUUGACCACGAGGACUAGACGUACCUAGCACAGGUAACUUCUUAAAAUGAGUGGUAUACCUUUUUAGAACGUGUUAUUUAAGGCCCUGACUUCUGCAAAAUCAAACUAACCGGGCUCCUCCAAAUACAUUGAAUUAAAAGACUACUCUAUUGUAUCCUUGUUUAAUGUGUUUAAGUCCUAACAUUUAAAAAGUAAUACAUAACCAUUGGUUAGACAAUGUUUUAUGGGCAGCGAAAAGAAGCAUAAAAAUAUUUUGACAGCAACACAAACCUCUUAACAUUGCUAACUUUCUGUUAAUACUUAAUGAAAAAUGUCAGUAGCUGUGAUAAAAGGAUAGUUUUGAUGAAUGGGGUCACUAGAUUUCUUUUGGGGGGCUUAGUUGGGAUACAAUAUAGAAGACAUAAAUAAAACAUUUGUCCUCUGAGGGUGUGGUGGGAAUGCAAAUUAUUCAACAAGCAAAGUGGUUAUUGCAUAUUUGUAUUGCCCUGCAUUGUACAAUCCCUGGCUGUACAAACUGAAUAGGUACCUGGGAAUGGUCACAGGAUAGUACAUCCUAUCUACCUGCACAAACAUUUACUUUCCACAUACCAUCAAAUAUUUUAGCAGAUUUAUUCCUCGUUUAAUUCAGGGUCUGGGUUGUCGUGAAAAUAGAUUCUGAGGCAACCUCACCUAACAUUUCAGCUGUAAUAUCACAGUGUCACAUACCCUAGAACAGUGGUCCCCAACCACCGGGCUGCGGACUGGUACCGGCCCAUGGGCCAUUUUGUACCGAGUCACACCACAGAAAGAAUAUAUAUAUUUUUUUUCUAAAAAAGUUUUAUUUAGAAAAUUGACUGGAUUCUCUCCUAAUUAUGUACGCGCGACUACUACCCCCCGCCCCCGUCGGUCGGUCGGUCCGCCCACAACGACUACUACCCCCCCCCCCCCAUUAUUCCGCCGGACCUUCAUGACCUUCUUAACAGAUAUGUUACUCUGCGAAAUAUUGUCUGACGUGAAAAUGUCUGUGAAGGUAAAAAAGGUUGGGGACCACUGCCCUAGAAGACAAUAAGGGGCUACAACACACCAUAUAGUAGUAGAAGGGAUCCAAAGAAACAUAUCCAUAACAUUCAAGAAUUUGCAAAGCUUGAAGAGGUCUGGUAAUCAUCAUUUCUUUUCUUCUUUUCUCAUGGAUUAAGGUUAGUUUCAUAUAUGACCAUAAAACAAGUGAAUAAAUGUGACUCAAACAACAGAAUUCUACUACAAAUAUAUAGGAUUCAAACUAUAUUUGAACAAAGAAACAAACUUAUGAGAAGAUGAAAUUGUAUUGGAACCAAGCCUAUCUUGGUGGAUUUAGGACCCAAAGAUCGCAAGCAGAGGAACUUAAAAACAUUGGAUAGAAAAAUGUUGUUUAUGGUCUUUUCUGGGCAUUUGUCGACAAUAAGAAUAAUUCUACAUAAUACAAGUUCAUAGUCUUGCAAUACUCAUCUGCACAUGUUGCCAUACCAUACUGAGGCGAUGUAUUCCACCAUGUGCAACAUCAUGAUAAAGCAAUUAGCCUCGCUCUGAGGCGAUCCUGGACACAACAACACUAGUAAGUGUCUGGGGCCCAGAUCCGUGCUUUGCAGUUUCACAAGCAUGUUGGAAAGCAACGGUGUCUUUCAGGUGAAAACAUAGUUGUGGAUAUUGUAUUUCAUUUCCGCUAAUAAAUCCCCUGAAUUUCUUCACACUGGUCCUUUUAAGGUUGUAUUUUUAUCAAAGGGACUUUGAGGAUAAUAUAAAUCCGUCUUUAAAUACCGUAUAUUCCAUGUUGCUUAUAUAACCCAUUGGUAGGAAUCAGUGCGUUGCCUUGAAUACAUUUUUAUUAAAUGCUAAUAACGCUAUUUUAAUACAGAGCUGCCUAAUUUGAUUGCAUUUAGCAUUGGGAAUGAUGCUAAUUCUAACAAAGCUAAAAAAAUUUAAAAGUAGCCAGGUAACAGCAAUAGCUUACUAGGCAGCAAUGACCUAAACAGGACACUAAUUUAGGAAGUACGUACCUGUAAUGCCAGAUAUCUGCCUCCAUAGCAUUCUGUAAUAGCUUCGGACAUGUUUUGUACAUUUUUGACCUAUGGUUUUCGGAAAAGGGAUUAUUACAAACCCUAAUAAUCUGUCCUGUUUUUCAGAAAUGCUGUUGAGUACUGGACGACUUCCUUAAAUGUUAGGACCAAGUACAUAAUAGAGUUAAGACCAACAAACAAACAAUAAAAUGGCUUCCACAUUUUCCCAUAUACAAGCAUACAUUGACAGUCCAGUGUGUGCAAGGAAUAAGAUCUACUAUACUGGUAACAUUCCACUGUUUAUUACUGGCCUACUUUGUUCAACUUUUUCCCUUUUUAUUAUGUUUUUUAAGAAAAUGCUGUGAUUAAAAAUCUUUCUAUAGUAUAUUUUUGUUAUAAAAUAUAGAAAAUAGUAAUUUACAGUUAUAUUACACAUGAAAUAUCCUUUAGCCUUUGUGUAGGAACAUAUGUUACUCAUUUUGUUCUUUUGCAGCACAUGAUGUUACAGAAUAUGCAUCAAAGAAACAAACAUAAGUCAGUACAGCGUAGCAAAAACCCGAGAAAAAAACAAAACAAUGCAGACUUCAUACAGAAAAAUUAAAUGCAUGCAUACAUACAAUACUUUGCCAUGCAAACACAGUUCACUUUGGGAAGUAAAUUGUUUCAGAUUUGCAUUUCUUUCCCGUGUUUCAAACAUUUCAAAACUUUUUCCUAUACAUACGUGACAUGGCUUUCACAUAAUGUGACGUUCACUGCAGCUUCUGCACAAAUAAGUCUAAGUUGGCCACUGUUUGGUUGAUCAAAAUUCUAAGGUUGUUAUCAUUGACAUUUUGUGGGACAUUUGUUUGUUGUAAAUUAUUGUAGGUAAACUAUGAGUCCUUUUUUACCUUUCUGUCUCAUUUGCUCACUGUUAUUCAUUUUUACUGAAGGAGGAAUUUGACAAGUAGUUAUUCAGUUUCCACUUUAAUUCUUCCUCCCUCGCCAACUCCUUUUGUCAAACACAUAUUUCUUACUCACAUUUGGUCCAAUGUGACCAUUGUAAUCUCCCCAUAGAUACCUUUUUAGGCUGUCCUCUGUGAGGAAGCAGUGUCCCCUCAUGACCGCCCAGUAAGACCCAGCUAAUCCCUCAGGGACAUAUUGACUCGUCUGCAACCAGCCACAUCUGCCUCCCUAUCACACGCCACCGGCUAAGAUCUGGAUACAACGAUCAGUAUCUCUCAGAGCUGCUGACCUUCACUGUGUUUGUUUUGCUACUGCAACAGAGAUUAUUAUCGGGGCUUGACACAUAUAAUACAUACAUAUGAAUAACUACAAACCAUCUAGGUGCACUGCGGCCAUUUUAGAGUUCUUUGACUGACUAUUAAAAGAGUAUUUGUAUGAGUGAGGUUACCUUCACGUUCAAAUGCUCCAAAUAGACGUCACAAUGUCACUUCCUGGCAAUAUGUUGUUCCAAAUUCUUGAUGAUUGUAUAAAAAAUUGAUGAUAAAAUAAAAUGAAUAACCCAGAACGGUCUUAGGCCUGGAGAAAUAUGAAUAUUCAUAAUAUCAAACAGCAUUUUUGGAUUACGUGGGGGGGUAAGAACAUGCUGAAAAACACAUUUAUACAAAUUAUCAAAUUAUAUCCUAAAAAGAUGGUAUGUAUUAGAAAGCAAUUGCUUAUUUACACAUGUAGCAGAUACGGAGAAACAUUGGUAACUAUUUGGCGUUGUUUUUGGAACUCCUGAUCAAUGUAAGUCCAAUAUUAAUACUUCUUUAAUAAAAGUUUUGGUCUUAUAAUAUAUAUAUAUAUAUAUAUAUAUAUAUAUAUAUAUA